GGGGAAUAUUGCACAAUGGGGGAAACCCUGAUGCAGCAACGCCGCGUGAAGGAUGAAGGUUUUCGGAUCGUAAACUUCUUUGAUGAGGGACGAAUAAUGACGGUACCUCAAGAACAAGCCACGGCUAACUACGUGCCAGCAGCCGCGGUAAUACGUAGGUGGCGAGCGUUGUCCGGAUUUACUGGGUGUAAAGGGCGUGUAGGCGGGAAUGUAAGUCAGAUGUGAAACUCCGGGGCUCAACCUCGGAACUGCAUCUGAAACUAUGUUUCUUGAGUGCUGGAGAGGAAAGCGGAAUUCCUAGUGUAGCGGUGAAAUGCGUAGAUAUUAGGAGGAACACCAGUGGCGAAGGCGGCUUUCUGGACAGUAACUGACGCUGAGGCGCGAAAGCGUGGGGAGCAAAC
This 401-nucleotide ribosomal RNA is filed under the name uncultured bacterium. Its description in RNAcentral is "bacterial SSU rRNA". It matches the Rfam family "Bacterial small subunit ribosomal RNA", at positions 356 to 773 of the family's 1533-position model. The record is from RNAcentral.